RNAcentral lists this transfer RNA (127 nucleotides) under Pyrenophora teres f. teres 0-1. RNAcentral describes it as "tRNA-Tyr (GTA) (tRNA-Tyr-GTA-2-1)". Lineage: Eukaryota; Fungi; Ascomycota; Dothideomycetes; Pleosporales; Pleosporaceae. The record is from RNAcentral.
CUCCGCUUGGUGUAGUUGGUGUAAGUUCUAACGUCAACCCUAUUCUCACUCAGCCUCUAACAUCUUCUCUAGUUAUCACGUUCGACUGUAAAUCGAAAGGUCCCUAGUUCGAUUCUGGGAGCGGAGA